ACGGAGGGUGCGAGCGUUAAUCGGAAUCACUGGGCGUAAAGCGCACGUAGGCGGUGUCGUAAGUCGGAUGUGAAAGCCCUCGGCUCAACCGGGGAACUGCAUUCGAUACUGCGAUGCUUGAGUGCCGGAGAGGGUGGCGGAAUUCCAGGUGUAGCAGAGCAAGCCGUAGAGAUCUGGAGGAACACCAGUGGCGAUGGCGACCACCUGGCCGGCAACUGACGCUGUGGUGAGAAAGCGUGGGGAUCAAACAG
RNAcentral lists this ribosomal RNA (251 nucleotides) under uncultured prokaryote. Its description in RNAcentral is "partial 16S rRNA". It matches the Rfam family "Bacterial small subunit ribosomal RNA", at positions 525 to 775 of the family's 1533-position model. The record is from RNAcentral.